CGUAUCACCCAAGACAACUUUACGGAGUUGACGAUUGACGGAGCGAAGCGACGUCAAAGCGUUCAUUAAAGUCGAGUUGGCUUAGGGAUACGUUCGUUGGGUAGGGGAGCGUUCUGUAAGCCUGUGAAGGUGGCCUGUGAGGGUUGCUGGAGGUAUCAGAAGUGCGAAUGCUGACAUAAGUAACGAUAAAGCGGGUGAAAAGCCCGCUCGCCGGAAGACCAAGGGUUCCUGUCCAACGUUAAUCGGGGCAGGGUGAGUCGACCCCUAAGGCGAGGCCGAAAGGCGUAGUCGAUGGGAAACGGGUUAAUAUUCCCGUACUUGGUGUUACUGCGAAGGGGGGACGGAGAAGGCUAUGUUGGCCGGGCGACGGUUGUCCCGGUUUAAGCGUGUAGGCUGGUUUUCCAGGCAAAUCCGGAAAAUCAAGGCUGAGGCGUGACGACGAGGCACUACGGUGCUGAAGCAACAAAUGCCCUGCUUCCAGGAAAAGCCUCUAAGCAUCAGGUAACAUCAAAUCGUACCCCAAACCGACACAGGUGGUCGGGUAGAGAAUACCAAGGCGCUUGAGAGAACUCGGGUGAAGGAACUAGGCAAAAUGGUGCCGUAACUUCGGGAGAAGGCACGCUGACACGUAGGUGAAGUGAUUUACUCAUGGAGCUGAAGUCAGUCGAAGAUACCAGCUGGCUGCAACUGUUUAUUAAAAACACAGCACUGUGCAAACACGUAAGUGGACGUAUACGGUGUGACGCCUGCCCGGUGCCGGAAGGUUAAUUGAUGGGGUCAGCGCAAGCGAAGCUCCUGAUAGAAGCCCCGGUAAACGGCGGCCGUAACUAUAACGGUCCUAAGGUAGCGAAAUUCCUUGUCGGGUAAGUUCCGACCUGCACGAAUGGCGUAAUGAUGGCCAGGCUGUCUCCACCCGAGACUCAGUGAAAUUGAACUCGCUGUGAAGAUGCAGUGUACCCGCGGCAAGACGGAAAGACCCCGUGAACCUUUACUAUAGCUUGACACUGAACAUUGAGCCUUGAUGUGUAGGAUAGGUGGGAGGCUUUGAAGCGUGGACGCCAGUCUGCGUGGAGCCGACCUUGAAAUACCACCCUUUAAUGUUUGAUGUUCUAACGUGGACCCGUAA
RNAcentral lists this ribosomal RNA (1126 nucleotides) under Salmonella enterica. RNAcentral describes it as "partial 23S ribosomal RNA". It matches the Rfam family "Bacterial large subunit ribosomal RNA", at positions 1154 to 2238 of the family's 2925-position model. Lineage: Bacteria; Pseudomonadati; Pseudomonadota; Gammaproteobacteria; Enterobacterales; Enterobacteriaceae. RNAcentral also lists the same sequence under 1 other name. The record is from RNAcentral.